RNAcentral lists this unclassified non-coding RNA (348 nucleotides) under soil metagenome. RNAcentral's name for it is "partial contains 5.8S ribosomal RNA, internal transcribed spacer 2, and large subunit ribosomal RNA". The stretch from base 1 to 120 matches the Rfam family "5.8S ribosomal RNA", at positions 35 to 154 of the family's 154-position model. The record is from RNAcentral.
GAUGAAGAACGCAGCAAAAUGCGAUAAGUAAUGUGAAUUGCGGAAUUCAGUGAAUCAUCGAAUCUUUGAACGCACAUUGCGCCCGCUGGUAUUCCGGCGGGCAUGCCUGUUCGAGCGUCAUUUCAACCCUCAAGCCCCCGGGUUUGGUGUUGGGGAUCGGCUCUGCCCUUCUGGGCGGUGCCGCCCCCGAAAUACAUUGGCGGUCUCGCUGCAGCCUCCAUUGCGUAGUAGCUAACACCUCGCAACUGGAACGCGGCGCGGCCAUGCCGUAAAACCCCAACUUCUGAAUGUUGACCUCGGAUCAGGUAGGAAUACCCGCUGAACUUAAGCAUAUCAAUAAGCGGAGGA